RNAcentral lists this long non-coding RNA (10254 nucleotides) under Populus trichocarpa (black cottonwood). RNAcentral describes it as "long non-coding RNA (PTRI_LNC000748)". Lineage: Eukaryota; Viridiplantae; Streptophyta; Magnoliopsida; Malpighiales; Salicaceae. The record is from RNAcentral.
GUUCGCAUUGGUUUGAUCCAAGUGGAACAUUUCCAUACCUACACCCCCAUUAGCAUAACAAUCCUUUAUUAAACCACUAGCUAGACGUGCAAGAUUCAACCUACACACAAGAACCCACUAGAUAGACUUCCACUGGAACCAUGCAGCAUUCUCCCGUGAUGACCUCAUUACUCAGUCUUUUCUACUGGGGUUUCUGUUUCAACCUUCUCCUCUGUUUCAACAGGCUUCUGUUCUUCCUUUACUUCUUCUUCCUUUGGGGCUUCGACUGCAACCUCCGUUUCUUCUGCCGGUGCCUCACCAGGCUCUGUAGUCUCUUUAGCCUCCUCGACAACAGGCUCUACGGGUACUUCCGGCUCCUCUUUUGUCUCCUCAGCAACCGGCUCUGGUGUUUCCUUAGGUGUCUCCUCCUCAGUUUUCUCUAGUACUGUUGGCUCUUCUGCAGCGAUCUUGUUCUCUUCGAGCACCUCUUUAGUUUCAGCUUCAGCUGGGGCCUCGGGCUCUGGUGCCACGGGCUCCUCAGAUGCUGCAACUUUCUCUGCUUCUUUUGGCUCUUCAUGAGUUACUGCCUCUGGUGCUGCAGUGACCGCUUCUUCUGUGGUGGUCUCAACCUUGAUUGGUUGUUCAUUUUUUUCCUCUACAAGUGCAUUCUGCGCUGACACAACCUGCAGGAUACGUUAUUAAAAGAAAAGAAUGCUCACCAAAAUGCUGAUGAGGUCUUACCAUUUGUUAUAUAUAUAGAGAUGAAUAUACGAGUUUUCAAAUAUGAACAUCCACGAAUUAAAGAUCAUAAUUAAGAUGGAGGUGUUGAUCUUGAUGUACAAUCCAUCAGCAUAAAACUUAUCAGAGUUAAUUAUAUAUAUAAAUAUAUUUAAUGACUUGGAAGAAGUAUAUAGAUGAAAUCUGUUAAAUAAACUUCUCAAGAGGGAGAUUAAAUCAUUCUUAGUGAAUGAGUUACCUCAACAGUGGCCAUUGGAACUAGAAGGAAAAUAAAGCACAGCUGGGAUACAAAAGAAAACUGUAAGAAGCAAAAAGGUAGGAGUGAUUAUCACAGAAGAGGAUGAAGAAAUUGCUUUGAAUAUUUGAUGCAGAGUACGAGGGUGUAUUUAUAUAGAGAUGUAGGGGGCUCACUCGAGCGAGCGAGUGAGUGAGUGAGUGAGUGAGAGAAGAGAGCUACCGUUCGAGGAAUCUUGGGAUUUGAGACCACAGCUGAUGUCAUUAAAGAAUCGAUGGAAGUGAAUUGCUUUUUAGAAUAUAAUAUUUUUUAUUUAUAAAUAUAUUAUAAUAUUAAAAAGAUAAAAAAAAAUUAAAUUUUAACAAAUCUCCAUUUGGGCACACGAUUUAAUUUGAAAAAGCUAAAAUAAUGGAGGCCAUUUUCAUCUUAGCCAUCAUCUUCUUUUGGUCGUGUGUGCUGAUGUGCUUUGUGCAGUCGGUCACCUGAUUAUCAUUCAUUCAUGUUCUCAACUUGCCAUUCGUCCUUAACAACUCCUCCCUUUUUUUUUUUCUUUUUUUUUUAAGGAUAAAUGAAUUAAUUUUUUAAGAAAAUAAUGAAAAUAAUUUGUCAAAAAUUUUAGAAAUAAAAAAUUCCAUCAAUGCUGGGUCACUAAAAUUAUUAAUAAUAUUUAAGAAAUAAAAGCAAUUGACCAAAAGAACUUUCAAAAAAAGCUAUCUUUAUUUUUUUUUAAUAUUUCUCAAUAUUUGCUUGCACUAUAAACUAGUACUGUGAUUUUCUCAUGUUAAAUAAUAAUAAUAAUAAUAAUAAUCACCCUUAACCAAUAGGCAUAAUUUACUUCAAACAAACGAAUAAAACUCUGACGUGGAAAUUUAAGUUGGUCCCACGCUCUCUAUCGGCCAUUGCUUCAUCAAUUAUGGUAUUUCAUAAAAAUUUUAAUUUUUUUUAAAUAGUUUUAAUAAAUUAAUAUUAAAAAUAAUUUUUAAAAUAAAAAAUAUUAUUUUAAUAUAUCUUUAAAUUAAAACUACUUUAAUAAACAAGCUAUCACAUUAUCAAACGCUAUUUAAAGUCGGCGGAUCCCACGAGAUGCAGGGAUAGCAACAUUAGUGAAGGACUGGAUCAGCUGAGCUGGAGUUGGUGGACGGCCAUGUCCACGGAUUUCGUAGCUGUCCAUUACGUGUCAACAGUUUUUUUUUUUUUAUUAUUUUCUUCUACUUUUCCAGAUGGAUCCAAGCCUCCAAAAACGAAACAUUGGCUACAGUUUGAAAACUGUUAAAAAUGUUAAGAUUAACAAGACUAUCAACAUCAUAUUAAGUCAAGGAAUGUCAAUUUAUAAUUACGAGAGAUGUAGCUCAACCGGUUAAUAUCUAGAUUUGUUAUUUAAAAAUCACUAGUUCGAAUCUCACAAACCUUUAAACCACUAAAGACUUAUUUGAUUGUUAACUUCAGAGCGUGGCAUUAGUCGAGGUGCGUAUAAGUUAGUCUGAACACCCACGUUAAUAAUAAUAAUAAUAAAAAUGAUCAAUUUAAUAAGAUUAAUAAUAAUAAUGUAUUUAUCAAUAACAUUAUAUAAUUAUAAAUUGUUGAGAGUUCUUUUCUCUUUACAUGUUAUCAAAGCUUCAUUAUAUAUUUUCUCACACCAAAUCUUCCUUGAUUUUUCACAAAACUAGAAAUUUUAUCCUUACCGAAAAUGCAAUGACAUGAUUUUAUCCUUAAUUAUAAAUUUUUCACACCAAAUCUUUCUGACAACAUUUUAUUUUUUUACCACUGCCCAGGAUGUCAAAAAAGACCUUCAGGAUCGUCUUUCUCAGAGCAAUACUCCUUAUAUUUUUCAGAUAAAAAGAGACAUAACUUAUCUCAGUACUUAAGAUCAUAUGAUAGUUGCAGCUAGCGCUUACUAUAAAAAAACUUGAAAAAUUACGGGAUAAUCUGGGCUCCUAUGAUGACAUUGUUCGCUCUUUGUGAGACAGACCAUAAGAAAUGUAAAUUGAAGCCCUUUUUUUAUGGGACUCAAUGACAUAUUCUUUGAUAAAUAUGCUAGAUUUUGCUAAGGCAUACUCAUCUAUUGUAUAAGAAGAGGAGCAACGAAGCCUAGGUGUCGCACGCGAGGUAACAAAGGUCUUAGCCAUGGCCAUUUGAAGGGGUGAACCGAUAGCUCUGGGUAUCCAAAUUUUAAAAGUUCCUCUUCCUCGUCGCUAUUGAAAAAUACUUUUACAUCAAAUAUUUUACAUGUAAACAUUUUUUAAUGAUAAUAAUACUGAAAAAAAAAAUUAUGGUGAAGGUGAAGAUGUUGGUGUUGACAUAAUAAUAAUGAUGGAGGUGAUUGUGAGGUAAUUAGGGUAAUAGUAAAAGAAAAUAUAAUGGUGCUGGAGGAGGAGGUUGUGAGAUGGUGGUAGUGCUGAAAAAGGAGAUGGUGGUAAAAUAAAAAAAUAGUUAAAAUAAUUUUAUGAUAUUGUAAUUGAAUUACUACCAUUCAUAAAAUAUUUUAUAGAAUUUUAUGAUGUGAAAAUAUAUUAUAUCAAAUGAAUUAAAUUUGAAAGUUAACUGUAAAAUAUUAUAUAUCAAUCAAUUUUUUUUAUAAAAUAUUUCACGAGAAAUAAAUAUAAAAAAAUAUUUUUUUAAAAUAAACACAAAAAAAAAUUAAAAAAAUAUUUCCCUGUAACAGGAAACAAACAGACCGAUAGUCCUAAAAUAUUUUACCGAGCCAUAAUAGUACUUUUGGUUAACAUUAGAUAACAAAAAUGACGAUGAUAAUGUAUCUCAAAUCUUCUGAACCCUAACAUGUUGCAUUUAAUUAACUCAUCAUCAACAUAAAAUUGAUGAUGUAGGAUCACGUGAACCCUUCCUGUAAGAAUAAUAGCAGCAUGCAUUUUUGUGUACGGAUCAACAAUUGGGAACGGGCAUCGUUAAAAUCCGACAUUACCACCGUAAGGCGAUAAUGCCAUGAAUUUUGUAUAGUUUUUUGUGGAUCUCCAUGCCAAUAAACCCUAAUUGAAAACUUCGUACGGUAGCAGGCACCCAUUUCUACAUCGAGAUGCGUUUGCAGCAUGGAAUGAUUGUUGCUCGUCGUGCCGUUUCAUUUCAUUCCCCAAAUAGAAUAGGGGAGAGCUACAAGAACUCGAGAAGUCUCCUGUGAAAGGAGCUGUUCUGAAAGGUGUAAAGGGCUUGUCUUUUAGGUCUUGGUUCAGGUUUUGGGCGGUGGGCUAGGCUACAAAAGUGGAGCCGAAGUGGGGUUACAGUACACCAAUGAGGUGAUGCCAGGUGUAAUACACGCCACCGGCCACAUGGGAUGAUGCUGUAUCCAUGUCAUGUCGGAUGGAACAAGGUCAAUUGGAUUUCAAAAGAGGUGGGUCCCCGGGAUGAUGAUGAACCAUGGAGGUUGGUGGAAAGGAUGAAACUUUUGGAGGAGCAACCUGUCUCCGUCGAGUGACAGUCUCUUGGAAGCAAAUGUUUUGUGUUCAACGAUAUGGAUGAUUGCUAGCUUGGUAUUUUGGAAGCAAGAUCCAGAUUUUGGAGUUAAAUCAAGCUUAGUCAUGUUGCACCAUUUGCCUGUUUUAACCUCGCCAUGUGAGCUCAUCAUAGACAAAUGGUAGGUAUUAUGAUCAGUGGAGCUGGGAAGUUAAGAGGUUUAAUCAAAUCUUAGGACCUAAGAUAAUUUUCUUGCAAAUCCCUUUUCAUAGCCAUUAUUAAUCCUACGAUUUUCGCAACUAAAAACUAAACUGUUUGUGAAGGUUUGGCGCUACUAAGGAUUUGGUUUGUUCACCUUGUUAAGUCAUGUUCAUGUUGUAUCAAACCUUAUUGUAAAAUUGGAGCUAAACAUUACUUGAUAUAUGCCCUUUCAACCUUUUUCUUGUGAGCAUCCAAAUCCUUUAAUUCUACAAGCAUAACAAGUUUUCUUGAUAAUGUAUAUUGUUCAUGUUUAAGUGAUUGUGCUACAAGUUCCAUGGGGUAAUAUAUAUGAGAUCAAUGUUUUAAGUCAAAGUAAAUGGUAAGGCUUCUUAGACAAUAUUAUGUGAAGUUUAAUAUGCUUAUAAUAAUUCUCAUGAUAAUGAAUCUUGCCAAAUCUUAUGAUUGUUUUGAUUAAUUUAUAUGUUAAGGAUCAUAUUUUUAUUGGUUGAUUUCACUUGCCUAUUAGCCAAAGCAUAAUAAGAAGUAUAAUGAAUUAUUAUAUCCUCCAUGGUGAAUGUCAUAAUUUACUUUUUUACCCUUCUCAAGUAUAAAAAAAGGCAAAACUUAUUUCAAUAAAAAAGAAAAUAAUACACACACACACACACACAUAUAUGUAUACACUACACCAUUAAUCAGUUUUACCGACGGACUCAUUCCGUUGGUGACAGGAAUGAACUCCGUCGGUGAAAUAAUUACCGACGGCCUUACUGACGGAACACGUCCGUCGGUAUAAUAGUCGUCGGUAAUUUCCCUUUCCAUCGCUAAUUCUGUCGCAAAUAAAAAAAACAACCCACCGACGGUCUUACAGAUGGAUACGCGCGCCAAAGAAAAAAAAUUUCUGGCGGGAACAUUACUGACGAAAUCAAUCCGUCUGAAUUUUCAACGGUAAUUACCGACGGACAAUCCGUCGGUAAUUAUGGUAUCGGUGGUAAUUGUGUGGCAACUCUCUGUGAAAUACCGACGGAUAAUAUCCGUCGGUAAAGUCGUCUGUAUGUUAUCACCGACGGAUAGUAUCCGUCGGUAAUGACGGCAUGGCUGGUAAUUGUUUGGCAACUCUCUGUGAAUUACCGACGGAUAAUAUCCAUCGGUAACGCCGUCGGUAUCUAUUUAAAAUAUAUAAAAAUAAUAAUUUAUUAAUAGUAAAACUCUAAUAAACAAAUAAAAUUGGGUUAAACAUUAAAAAUAUUAAAAUAAUGUUAAAUAAUAUUCAUCCAAAUAUUCAUUACAAAUUUAAUGUGUUUAAAAAACAAAAUUAAACUAGGAUAGCGGCGGAGCUGGAGGAGGAGGAGGAGGAGGAGGCUGGUUGUUCCCGGGACCGUACGACCAAAAAGACCCUGCACAAGUAUCAUCACUCAUCUUUGAUCUCAUCUCCAUGACUAUGUGACGAAGCUCAUUAUAAUUCGUCGAGAGUUGUUGGUAUUGUUGUUUCAAGGCAGUGAGCUCCUCAGACCGGGUGCUCGAUACUGAUGGAGUGCUCCCAACGGUUGAGACACUACGAGCCGAACGCAAGUUUUCAGCCGUAGUGUUGGAGAGCCUGUAGACCCGAUUUUUAUCAGGUCCACCAGACGAUCCCACCUCCAUCCACAAAUCUGGAUCGAAAUCUGGAUGGGUCGAGGAUUGUUCCCAUAUCUCUCCCUCAACCGGCUAUUAUAGGUCUCUUGAAAAUUUUUAAAAAAAUCAUCAUAUGCAAUUCAAGAUGCAAUUCAAGAAAAUAAUAACUUACAAAAUAAAAUGAAUGAACGAACAUACCACAAAGUGCUGAGCACGGUUGUCCACAAACUGCUGCACCCCCUUUUGGCGGUCUUGACUCCACACAUGCAUCUCUACAAACAGCUCCAUUGGACUCGGCUCACGUCCAAGAGACGCAGCCUGUAAGGAAAAAAUAGGUUGAAAGUUAUUUAAUAAGGAACGACAAAUUAAUUAACGAUAUAUUUCAUUAAAAUUAAUCUUACCAUUCGCUUUGCAUGUGCGUUGAAUGGGAGGGAUCUGCCAGUGUGCGUGGUCACCGAACCAUGAAUUUGCCGGUUCCAGUUGUCGGCGCCGGACUGUGAGCGCCGUGAGAACCGCUCUAAGGUCACGUGCUCAAUAUAUGCCGUCCAUAUUUCCCCUGAGAUGAAUGGCAGUUUGAAUUCCCGUCAAACCGCCACCUCAUUCCAUCCUUCAAGACCGUUAUCCCUCACGUUUCUUUUUGAUUUUUUUUGGUGUCAUACCAAAAAUCACGCAACCUACUUCCAUAGUAACAAAUUAGAAUUUAAAACAUAAAAUUAUAAAACAAAAAUAAAUAUUAUUUUCGAUGUUACCUAGUUGCCGCGUGAUUCUCCCAUACCCUCCUCACAACAUUGUUGUUCGCCCUAUCCCACUCAAAUUUGUUCUGUGUAUAUAAAUAAUUCAUAUAAAAUAAAAAUAUUACAAGAUAUAAAAUUAUAAAAAUUAUUUAUUAAAAAUAAGCUAAAAAUUAAAAACUAACACCGACCUGAAAUCGCUUAAACCAUGCAUCGAUAUUAGGUUUCCACUCAGGAUGUUUGGAAACCUUGCUCCAUUGAAACAAUGGAAUCUCCAUCGACGAUUUAAACGCCAAUGUUAUAGCCCUUGCAGCCUCAAUGUUUGUGAACCUGAAAUUAAAUAAAAGUAAUAAUAUUAAUUAGUUGUUCAUAAAUUAUGUUAUAAGUAUAUAUAAAAAAAAGUAAAACCUAAACAAACUUACAUUGAGAGGUCAUCCUUCCAUUGUGCCUGGUACUUGCGGGUGAAUUGACCCCGCUGUGAAGGCACACCGCUUCUGCGCUGUGAAACCGCGCUAGAAGAGGCAGCAGCAUCACAAGUUGGCGUAGAUUCCUCGUCGUGAUCAGCACCUAAGGAUACGUCCUCCUCGCUGCUAGAAUAACUAGCUGCAACCGUCUUCUGACGACGUGCUGUAGAUUUCAUUCUACACAUCUACACAAAUUUAUACGAAUAAUUACAUAAUUAACUUCGAUUAUUUUUAAAAAAAUUCGACAGAGUCUCCCCUAUACUGGGGGGUUCCAAGUUAUCGACAAAAUCAUAUUACACUUCCAAUUUUAUUUCACAUCCCGAUCCAACCAUCCUGGAUCUCAACCCAACUCAUCAUCAACACAAAACAUCUUAUUCAAUAACAUCAUAAAACGAAAUUCAAGUAAAAGAAUCAAUUUCAACUAUGAACAUUCAUUGUUAAAUUGGUACUUAGAGUUACAAGCAAUAACAAUGACAGGUAAACAAUAAUAUCCUAAAUUAAGGUAAACUAAUUAAAUGUAUAAAUUAAUAUUUUUAACAUAAAUUCAACAAUAACAAUUAUAGCAAUACAAACAAUAAUAUCAUAAAAUUAAUAAAUAAAAUGAAAAAACUAAAAAAACACUAUACAAAACAACCUAAACACAAAACAAACAAUACACAAACCUAAAAAACACUAUAUCAAUUCAAAAUAAAUUUGGGAAUAAAAAAUGCUUACCUUAAUAGUGUGUUGAAUUUAAGAUUUUAUCUACAAACAAUUCACAAAACAAAGAACACCAAAAAAAAAAUCAUGAUUAAAAUAAAAAAAAUACAAAGAUAAAGAAAAAAGAAUACAUACCUUUUAAAACUACCACCAAAUAGGGGUAAAUCUCUUAAAAAAGCCAAAUGCAACCAAAUGAACGGAGAAGAAAAAAUGAAGAAGAAACGGAGCCAGAGAAAAAAUGAACCAAAUGGGGGGAGGGGGGGUUUUAUAUGGCAAUUUUUUCGACGGAAUUACUGACAGACAUUAAUUGUUGUCGGUUGCAUUAAAUUCCGUCGGUAAUACCGUCGGAAAUUAAUUGAAAUGCGCACAAAAAAAGUUUGAAAAUCCCGCCAGACUUUUCGAUCCGUCGGAAAAUCCGUCGGUAUUUGUGCAGACGGACACGUGUCUGACAUGCAUGCGCUUCGGGAUGUGCGUAAUUUUGUCGGAAAGACGUCGGUGUAGCCGUCGGUGAUUGUGGCACAAUCCCGUAAAUGUUUUGCAACUCUAUGGUCCGUCGGUGACUUCGUCGGUGAUUGUGGCACAAUCCCGUAAAUUUUUUGCAACUCUUUGUGAAAUACCGAUGGGUUUUAGUCCGUCGGUGAAAGUGGCACAAUCCCGUAAUUUUUUUUCAACUUUCUGUGAAAUACCGACGGGUUUAGUCCGUCGGUGAAACCGUAAAUUUUUCUUAUUUUUUUGUGUAACCGUGUCACAAAAACUUGAAUUGCAAUCUUACAGCACACGCAGCACAAUAACAAGAGUUGACCAUUAAAGAAGAAUAAAUAUUUCAUGUUCCAAAUUAUUACAUUAUAAAAAUAAGGCUUUAGAACAUGUUUAGUUAGUCGGAAUUUUCAUCUUCGUCCUCAAUUGAAUUGUUAUCAUCAGCUUCAUCGCACUCUUCAAUUUCGUUAUCAUCUUCUUCAACAACAUUCUUUUGUUCACUAGUAGAACUCAGAACAACAUUCAACUCCUCUACGUCAACAUCAACAAGACUAUCGUUGAAAACACGAAAAUUCAAAUUUUCUUCUAAGUCAAUCAAAGGAGCAACUCGGUAUGGUUCAACCAACUUACUAGCUUGAAAGACUUCAUCUAUCACACUUGUAUCUUUGUUCUCAUCCUGAACAACCUCGACACGACCCUUGGGUUUUGUUUUUAAAACGGAUAACCAAUCAACUCUUGAUCGGUCCUUUCUAAAGGAAGGGGUGUAUGUGUAAUAAACUUGUUGGCAUUGCUUUGCGAAAACAAAGACGUCAUUUACGUUACAGUGUUUAGCUUUUGAGUUGAUUUCAACGAGACCAUAGUGAGGAUCUACUCUGAUUCCUCUGUUAGUUGUGUCAUACCAAUAACAUUUGAAUAAAAACACUCUAUUCUGCUCGCUAUGAUAUUGCAGUUCGAUGACCUCUUCCAAUCUACCGUAGUAGUCAACUUCAAACUCACUAGAAGUCGAUCCCUUAAUACAAACACCGCUGUUGUAUGUCUUUCUUCCAUGCCCGUAUUCUUCAGUAUGAAAGACAUAUCCAUUGACAAAAUACCUGUUAUAGCACUUGACUUUUCUUUCAGGGCCCAAGCUUAGUAAAGACAGUGAAAUAGCAGCACUACCUCCCAUUUGAUAAACCUUGUAAAUUAAAUACAACAAUAAUUAAUAAACGGAUAUUAUGUAAAAUUGACAUACAAUUAAUUACAUUGCAAGAGAUAAUGAGUUUGUGAUAGGACUUAUAUGUGUUCUAAACCAUGUGGAAAAUUGUUCAUCUUGUAAUUGAAAGAUCUGGGAUUCGGUCAGUUGUGAGUUAUUGGACAGUAAGUAUCGUCGAUGUUGCCUGCAAGGUUGUUCCAAAUUAUAUGAGUUUAUGGUAUCACAAAACAUAAAUAAUACACUCUUGACAAAGUUUAAGUCGAACAUCUACUUACUUAAUAAAGGGUCUCAGCUCGUCACAGUUACAUAGGACAUAAUUGUGUGCUUGUCUGAACUCUAUUUCAGACAAAUAUCUUCCCCUCAUGGCAUUUUUAGGUGUGGGUCGUCCAGGAUUGGAGAAUAUUGACAAGUUCCCACUUGAAGGCACUUCACCACCAUCAUCAUGUCGUGGAACACGGUUGAUCCUCGUUCUCAAAUGAGGUUCGAAAUAGUAUGAGAUAAAUGUUGAGAACUCCUCAACAA